AAACACUGUGAGGUAGUAAGGUGAUUUUGGCGGGAAAAUCAACUGAGUUGAGUUCAGAAAUAUAUAUAUAUAAAUGGUAGUUAAUCAUUUCGAAUUACGUCGCUGAAUUCUUUAACAUUUAAAUAUUUGCGAUGUUAAACUUUUUCAACAAAUUUCCAGAAACUGGCUGGUUAAUUUAAAUUUUCCACUCAUCGCAGAAUAUACUACAAAAGCCAGAGGUUUUGCAAAACAUGGAGGCGGAUUCAAUUCUGUGAAAUCCAACAAAAGCGCUCCCCGAUAGUGUACAUUUUCAAUAUUGAUCAAUUGGAGUAAUCUAUUUAUUUCGCGCUAUUGUUUGUAGAAGCCUUUUUUUCGUCGUAAUGAUUUCAUAUUUUAUUUAAUAUGUGCGUUUCAAUCAACUGGGUAAAACAUUGGAUGAUUAAAUUUUUGGUUGACUACACAGAAGUGUCAGGCUGAAUCUGAAAUAUCAUUUAGAAAGAAUGUGCAUAACUUUACUAGUUUUCCAUAUUUUAUGACAUAAUCAGGGAGUCAUUUAAAUUAAAUUUGCAUUAUUAAUUAAUGCAUAGUGUUACAUUUCCGCCAAAAAACAUAAACUUUCCUAACAAAUUGUAGGGGAAGAAUAUUUAUUAAAAAAUAAAAAUAAGAAACAUUUCCAAUUAAAAUUAGAGACCUUUUGAAGAAACUUUAUCAUGUUUUAUGUUUUAAACAUGGAGUGAAAAGUCCAACAAAAUUGAUGAUUUUUGUAAUUUUUUGUUGUAGUUUGGAUACUUGGAUUCGUUUUAACGAAACUUUUUUUUUCUUGUGAACCCGGAAUUGGAUGAGACAAUUUUGCCAGAUUCGUAGUAGGCUUAAUCAUUUAAAUAUUUUUAUGAAAUUAUUUUGUACUGCAUGAGUUGUUGAAAAUGGCAUGACAAUUCAUAACAAUUGUCAAAAAAUAUUAUUUGAUAAAAAGAUUAUAGUAAGUCCUGCGAUAGGAAGAAGUUUUCCCUGCAAAUAUGAUGUAAUAUCAUACAACUAGAUCGUUUGAGCAACCCUAAGCUGAACAGAAAAUAAUUUGUAGUAAAAUAUUUUUUUAUUGUUUAGCUUUUAAAGAGAGAAAGUAGAUCAAAUUUGUUAUUUGAUUCAAAUCAAUUCAAAUCGUUAGCUUUUUUACACAAUUUCAAGUGUUAUAUCUAACGACUUGCAUUCUAUCUGGAACGAUAAGAUUGUCAACAAUAUGUCUCAUUGCCCCAUUCCUCAAAAUAAAUUGCCAAAAUCACGUGUGAAAAACGGGGUCAUCAACCCUUUCCCCGCUGCGUCUUCAAGGUCGCCGCCUCGACAGUUUCGCGCCGCCUAACCUACAAAAAGGUCGCACGGGUAAUUAUUGACCGCGCGCGGUCGUCCCUUCCCAUCGGGGUCUUUCCCUCACCCCUUACAAGUUUCACCAAUAAUCACCUGACCGCGCGAAACAGGCGCCAUAGUCGUCGAGAGCGCCUUUUCGGGAAAAACAAAACACAGGCAAAUGAAAACAAAUAAAAGUGCCUCCCCACCCGAGAAAGGCAAGGCAUUACCGACAACAACCAAGCCUCAUUUGCUUUGAAUUCUUUCCUCCCCUGCUCCUUUUUCCCAAAGUCGCCCAAAGAGAGGCCCACAAGGAUGAGUGCGCGACGGCGGUGACUCGAUUUUCCAUCUUUUCACCAUUUGAACUUUUUCCUUGGCGCGCUUCUUCGGAUCGACCUGUGGAAAGUGGGAGUCGGGCGCGCGCGGGGUAGGUCGUAGAGUUUCCGGACGCCAUAGCCACCCGGCUAUAAAUACUACACUGAAGCGCGCGUGACUCCCACCUAGCUCCGGCAGGUUCCUCUUCCAUCCAUCCGUCGAUGGUGUGGGACGGAACGUAACGGAAGAACGGGCGCGCUGUGGCAUUUUCCACGAUAACAAUAACGCUAAAACUCUUGAGCAGCGUCGUCGUCGGUGGACUAGGCUAGCGCACAAAGACGCGACAUAGCUCCAACGACUCUGCGGAGAUGUUGACGACGGCGACGGCGACCCAGGACGGCGGAAACCUUGGCUUGGUCUCCUCCGCGCGCGUAUACACCUCUUGCACGGUAUACCGUUGAUGGGACGAAUCGCGCCGUCCGAGGGUACGAACGCGUUCACACAGCAGCAGCAGCAGUGCUACAGUGACCGAUGGUUGGGUUGGGGACGGUUCAAUGCUUUAAAUCUGUUCAGGAUUUGGUAUAAUAACGGAUUAGUUUAAACAAAAAUAGUCGAUCUAGUAGUCUCUGCUAACGAUCUCCCGUUAGCUGUCAAAUGCACCAAGAUCCAUUAAUUUUAGGUAGGGUUGAAUUUAUUUGAACUGUUGUAUUCUAUAUGAUUUUCAGUCGUAACGUUGUCAAGACUUCUUGUUGAGGUAAAACCCGAAAAAAGACUCUUACUAGAUUGGAUUCAGUUGGAAUUUACGAGAUUCCGGUUGAUCCUGGCAAAUGAAAUCAACAACAAUGAUCAAUUUCUUGUUGUUUCAUACGAAAUUGUUGGUAAAGUUACCAUUACGAUUCGCUCAAGACUCGGUCCCCUUUAAUCCGUGCCCACACCAUCGCGGGGCGCUGUGCUCCAAGCCAUCAGAGGAGCUCUCGGCUGCCAGCGGCACCGUUUCUCGACUCUUCAACGUAAACGAGCUUUUGGCUUUGGCCGUAAUAGCUCCACCGCAGCCACGUACCCUCCCCACGUACACCUCCCCAGCGCCAACGCUGAUAUCGAGUGGUGUUCUGGUGUGCUUUUGGUGCUACGAAGCUCCGGAGCGCACCGGGCGCGCACACCAAAACUUCGAGACUUGGCAUCUCUCGACACCGCGCCGCAGCACCGAGUGGUGCCCGUGUGCUGAACACUUUCUUUUCAUUUUUUUUUUUUGUUGCCGCCACUCCGUUGUGUUGUGUGGAGCAGAGUCUCCACCGGCCUCUGCUGUCCCUGUCUCGCUCGGCUGGUAUGCGCGCUGGUUGCCCCAUCUUGCUUCUUUCUUCCAUCAUCAUCAUCAUAAUCAAGCGUCUCGCUCCACCACCGCCUCCUUCGACAUCCAGCGCGCUCCGGUUUCAGCAAUUCGCCUUCUUCACCAUCCUAGCAAGCCGUGUGCCAAGCCAAGCAGCAGCACCAGAGUGCUUUGCCUCGACGAAAGAUUUCGAUGUGAAACUCUGGUGCGCGGCGCGCUGUGUACGACGGCUCCGGCACACUGGGAUCGGUGCAAGGAGGUCAGAAAAAGUGUUUGACGUUUCGGCACGGACUUCGUCAGGGUGGUUAGGAGUGAUGCAGUAGUCCAUUUUGAGUAAAAUUUGAGCGCAAAAACAUUUGACGGUUUCGAAAAUGGAAGUCCUCUAAAGGACGACAUUCCUAGUCGACCAAAGUCAUGUUACAGCUGUCACACUGCAUGUGUCAAAGUAGCAAAUUUUGACCAAUUUCGCCCCCGUGUCAAACCCAGUGUGCCGUGCUCGAACCAGUUCACACAAAAGUUGGUCCCAAACUCCGAGCACCGAGCACCGAGGGGUCUUCGAAGCAAUUUAAGUUCCAGAGCUGUAGCAGUAUAGCAGCGGCAAAGUGAAGGCACAAAUGACGACGACGACGGCAACAACAAAAACAACACAACGGCGACGUCGACGAAAACGAGAAAGAGAGAAGAGGAAAGACCGAGACCAACCAGUCAUCAGGCUUAGGGUAGCGGCAAAAUGGGUAUAUAUAGCAUUAUAGCAUAAGCAUAAGGCAAGCACAUUUUCGAAGGAAGGUACACUGACUCAUUCGUUUGGUUCGUUCCAUCUGCAAUAUCAACCGCACCGGGUCCCCGUCCUUCCACCGUUUCCUGUGCCCUGCCAUGCCGUCGUCCCCGAUUCUUGUGUGUGACCCUUCUCGCUCGCUUUGUUGGUUGUAUUUCUGUUUCACUCCCUCUUUCUGUUGUUUUUUAGCCCCCUCUGUACCCUCUGUUGUGUAUUCCGACAUAUUUCCACUCGGUAUGCCCUGGUGUGGAACACCCGUCCAGCAGCAAAAUAUCAUUUUAGAGAGACCUACGACGAUGGUGCUGCGCUGCGGCAGCAAGAAGGGGGAACGUACGAACCACCGGAGAAACGUCCGUAAAGCCAUGACACAGAAUGGGCCCUGUAUACGUGUCAGUGUGUGUGUGUAUGCUAGCUCCGGUGCCAGCAGCAGCAGCGGUCGUCGUCGUAGCCAAGGUGGAUAUAUCUUGUCGCCGACGUCCUUCUCCUCCCCCUGCCGGACCGAGGUCCGGAGGUUCAACGGACCACGAACUCACGCACUAAGCCGGAUCCAAGGAGUCCUCGAACUCAUCAAGGGACACAAUUUGAUCAGAGAGUGCCUUGGAAUUCAAGCCGAGACUCGAACCAACCAAAUCCCUAAUCAGAACUUGGGAGUUUGACGUUUAAUGAAUUCAAGGGGAACGCAAUAUUGACCCAAGAAGUUCAUUACUGAAUCAAAUCUUCGACCCUAAAAGUUCAUUACAGAGUCAAUAAAUAAUUUCCAUGAUGAUGUCAAAUAAUUUAACAUUCCUUUCAUUAUCUUAUACUUAAUUAAAAAAAUAAAACCGAUUAUCAAAUAACAAAAACAAACAUUAUUCAUAAUUUGACUAAAAUGGGUCGCAGAACUUGAAUUUGAUGUUUAACAUCAUCAGUAAGAAAAUUUAAAAACAUAUGAUUCGAUUAUCCGAAGUUCCAUUUAAAUCUUCGGAUAAUCUAAACUCGGAUAAUCGAAACAUUGGAUAAUCGAGGCUUCGGAUAAUUUAAUAUGGACUGCAAAUCUUUGCGAGAUUGGAUUAUCUGAAGUUUUUUGAAGAUCCUUGAGAUAAUCGAAUCUUUGGAUAUUUUAGUUUAGACUGAUCAACUGAUCCACAGUAGGUAUGUUGAAUCUGUCGAAUUACUUUUGGAACUUCAAUCCAACCACCUCAAAUCCACAAGAAACCCGCUCACACUAGUUGUUGUUCUGGGUGAAAUUCUAACAGAUAACCGCGGCGUGUACUAAAACAAAGCCCCAUGUUUUUGGCACACGCGAAGGUACGCCGAACGUGCGCGCGCGAUAUGCACCUUGUUUGUCGACGACGUCGUAGCGUCGCGACGCCCUGGCGAUUAGCGUUGAAUGUUGAGUAGGGGGGAAAACAACACAAAAAAAUAGGUUGCUAUUUUUAAGUAACCGCGCCAUGAGAAAUUUAAAAGCGCGCGCGGCACGGUUUGGUUUCGAAGAAUUAAAGUUCGAAAUUAGAAUCUCGACGAAUAUUUAUUGAGGGGUGGGGGAAAUGCAUCGUAUUUUUGGGGAGGAAGGUUUGUUUUUAUCGAAAAUACUAGACUAGAAGUAAAAGUAUAAAGAUUUUAAUCAGAAUCUCGUAUACUGAGAUAUUUGUGACAAACAUUUUGUGUAUAACAAGAUUGCAACAUAGUCAGACAAAACAUAUUUUUCAAAAUUUGGUCCGAAAAUGCAACAAUUUUAGAAAAGAAGACCACAACUUCUCCGUUUGAUUCCAAAGACCAUUUACUUGUGUCAUGCAACAACAGAACAACAUCUCGUCCCAAAUGCACUUAGUCCAACGGAAGGAAAUCCCCCCAGAACGGGGAAAGAUAUUCUAAACGACGAGCACAGCAAGUCUUGCUCAUCUUUAUUUCGGUGCCCUCCUCCGUCACCGACGAGGCGAAGGGGACCAUCAUCUGUUUUAUUUUUGUCCCGAUGCAGCUGGGCUUCCGGCGGUCGCGACAAUCCGACAACCUCGGCGAGACACUGUGCCUGAACCCGCAUGUGGAAAAAAAGUUUGAAACCGUUUCAAAACUGGCGCGCCUUUGUUGAGCGUGCAGUUUGACAGCUGUCUGGGUGGACUGGGCGAGGUUGGCCGAUUUCUGUCGUUUGACAGUUGUGGUUGGGAAAGCAGAUGGUUUUGUUUGUUUUGCUUUGAUUUUUUUUUUUUGGUUUAAGGAUUUAAUUGGUUUAAAUACUUGUAGUAGAGUAAAUUUUGGUGUGGAAAAGGUGAUUUUAUAAGUAGAAUUCUUGCAUAGAAUCUGUUUAAGGUUACUGUAACGAGGAAGUCUCCGCGAUAACAAUACGAACGUGCCGCAUCGGAAUGUAUCAAUCAAGCUGGGUGACGACCUUCCCGGGACGAGCCCCCCACCGGUGAAUGCCAUUAGCAAGCGAUCUAAACAGUGCAGAGAGACAGAGUCACACAGCUCCGCGUGUCCCAUUCAUAAAAUAUAUAUAAUUGCAACAAGUUUCCGACGACGACGACGAUUACGACGUCACCGAAUCAGAAGCGAUGUCGAGCAGCAGCAGCAGCACGCUUAAACGGUUGUCGAUGAUGAUAAAGAGUCGUUAAUGACGUGUGGCCCAGACACGUUGGCCGGCGGCGGCGGUGGGGAAUUCCUCUGCUCUAAAAAGCGACGCAGCUGCCGGUUCUCUUUUCACACUGUGCCGUCUGCUGACUAAUACGGAGUGAAAGAAUGCCGCCCGGCGAUGUUUGGUGACACCCGGGUUACAUAACAAGAAGAGGUUUCAAGCGCCACCACCAUGUAUAAUGCAUCGCACGAGUAAUUAUCGCAAACGUCGACGUUGGUGUUUGUGGUGGCAAUCGAGCCCCUUCCUUGUUGUUCCACGAGGAUACAACAAAAUAACAAACAAAACAAGUGCAGCCCGCACAAAUACACACAUUAGAGAGAGUGCAGCGUGUUGCGAAGGCAAGUGCGCUGU
This is a long non-coding RNA of Culex pipiens pallens (northern house mosquito), 6696 nucleotides long. RefSeq lists it as uncharacterized. The record is from RefSeq and is a predicted model, not a curated record. The transcript is spliced from 2 exons. NCBI's taxonomy places the organism in Eukaryota, Metazoa, Arthropoda, Insecta, Diptera, Culicidae.